This 506-nucleotide ribosomal RNA is filed under the name Panorpa centralis. Its description in RNAcentral is "eukaryotic LSU rRNA". The record is from RNAcentral. Lineage: Eukaryota; Metazoa; Arthropoda; Insecta; Mecoptera; Panorpidae.
UAGUACGUGAAACCGUUCAGGGGUAAACCUGAGAAACCCGAAAGUUCGAAUGAGAAGAUUCAGUAUUUUACAUUAGGUCGAGCAUAGUAUUUUAUGUGAUAAUUUUUUAAUGUGUUUUACGACCCAUUAAUAUUACACUAAUUUAUUAUGAUAAUUUGGCUAUGGAAAUAUGCACUUCUUCUCUAGUAGGACGUUGCAACUCAUUGGAUGUUAAUCUAAGGAACCAUAGGGCAGCCUAUUUUAUAUAUAUUUCGGUAUAUGUGAUUUAGACCUAAGGUAACACCCGAUUAACUUGUUCGAUGGUAUAUUAAUAAUAUUGGGCCGCCUAUAUGGCAUUCAAACUAUUUUCAAGUGUGUACGGAUAAAAUUUUGGCUAUCAGACCUAGUGCUGUUACUGAAACCGUUAUACUGUUGGAUUUUAGUAUAUUGAAUAGACCCUUUAUAUUGGUUAGCAACGCUUUAGCUUUGGGUACUUUCAGGACCCGUCUUGAAACACGGACCAAGGA